RNAcentral lists this ribosomal RNA (410 nucleotides) under Tridacna squamosina. RNAcentral's name for it is "16S ribosomal RNA". It matches the Rfam family "Bacterial large subunit ribosomal RNA", at positions 1862 to 2570 of the family's 2925-position model. Lineage: Eukaryota; Metazoa; Mollusca; Bivalvia; Cardiida; Cardiidae. The record is from RNAcentral.
CCCGGUGCCUUGCGGGGUAAACGGCGGUGUUAAACCUUAAAGUAGCGUGAUAAGUCGGCCUUUAAUUGGGGUCUGGUAUGAAGGGGUUGACGUCGGAAAAGCUGUCUCAGAAAGACUAAGUGAAAUUUACUUUUAAGUGAAAAGGCUUAAAUAAGGAUAAAAGACGAGAAGGCCCUGUCGAGCUUGAGGGAUUUGAAUGUUUAGCAACGUGAUUAGGAGUUUGGCUGGGGCAGCAAUGGAGAUAGCCUCCGUUUUUAAAGCAAAGAUCCAUUAUGUUCAAAAUAAUGAAAAAAGGAAAAAGUUACCGCAGGGAUAACAGCACAAGACCGCCUCAGAGGUCGUAUCGAAGGCGGUAAGUGUGACCUCGAUGUUGGAUUAGGGUAAACCUCUUUGUGCAGGAGCAAAGCGGG